GCCCCGUUAGUCUAGCGGCCUAGGAUUCCAGACUUUCAAUCUGCGAGAACGUCGGUUCGAAUCCGACACGGGGUAC
Molecule: transfer RNA, 76 nt
Filed under: Streptomyces phage Bmoc
Lineage: Duplodnaviria; Heunggongvirae; Uroviricota; Caudoviricetes; Stanwilliamsviridae
Also listed under: 1 other name
Description: tRNA-Glu
Rfam family: tRNA
About the family: Transfer RNA (tRNA) molecules are approximately 80 nucleotides in length. Their secondary structure includes four short double-helical elements and three loops (D, anti-codon, and T loops). Further hydrogen bonds mediate the characteristic L-shaped molecular structure. tRNAs have two regions of fundamental functional importance: the anti-codon, which is responsible for specific mRNA codon recognition, and the 3' end, to which the tRNAs corresponding amino acid is attached (by aminoacyl-tRNA synthetases). tRNAs cope with the degeneracy of the genetic code in two manners: having more than one tRNA (with a specific anti-codon) for a particular amino acid; and 'wobble' base-pairing, i.e. permitting non-standard base-pairing at the 3rd anti-codon position.
Source: RNAcentral